RNAcentral lists this ribosomal RNA (279 nucleotides) under uncultured bacterium. Its description in RNAcentral is "partial 16S ribosomal RNA". It matches the Rfam family "Bacterial small subunit ribosomal RNA", at positions 506 to 784 of the family's 1533-position model. The record is from RNAcentral.
UGCCAGCCGCCGCGGUAAUACGGAGGGUGCGAGCGUUAAUCGGAGUGACUGGGCGUAAAGGGCGCGUAGGCGGUUUUGUUAGUCAGGCGUGAAAGCCCCGGGCUCAACCCGGGAACUGCGUUUGAUACUGCAAGACUUGAGGACGGAAGAGGAAAGUGGAAUUCCUAGUGUAGAGGUGAAAUUCGUAGAUAUUCGGAGGAACACCAGUGGCGAAGGCGGCUUUCUGGACCAAUACUGACGCUGAGAUGCGAAAGCGUGGGGAGCGAACAGGAUUAGAUA